RNAcentral lists this ribosomal RNA (465 nucleotides) under uncultured bacterium. RNAcentral describes it as "partial 16S ribosomal RNA". It matches the Rfam family "Bacterial small subunit ribosomal RNA", at positions 338 to 795 of the family's 1533-position model. The record is from RNAcentral.
CCUACGGGUGGCAGCAGUGGGGAAUAUUGCGCAAUGGGCGAAAGCCUGACGCAGCGACACCGCGUGAGGGAUGAAUGUUUUCGGAUCGUAAACCUCUGUCUGAAGGGAAGAAGUGGCAUGGGGCCAAUCACCUUUGCAUUGACGGUACCUUCAAAGGAAGCACCGGCUAACUCCGUGCCAGCAGCCGCGGUAAUACGGAGGGUGCGAGCGUUAAUCGGAAUUACUGGGCGGAAAGCGCACGUAGGCUGUAUGUCAAGUCAAGGGUGAAAUCCCACGGCUCAACCGUGGAACUGCCUUUGAAACUGGCAAACUGGAGUAUGUGAGAGGUAGGCGGAAUUCGUGGUGUAGGAGUGAAAUCCGUAGAUAUCAGGAGGAACACCAGUGGCGAAGGCGGCCGACUAGCACAAAACUGACGCUGAGGUGCGAAAGCGUGGGUAGCAAACAGGAUUAGAUACCCCUGUAGUC